UCAGACAUAAUUUGGUUGUAUCCUCGACAAAGCAGCUCACAAAUACUCCCAAGAUGGAUACUCCAUGCUCUACUUUCCAGCAAAAUAAUUCUUGAGAUCGCCGUCUGAGUUUGGAAUCAGUUACCCCACUCUCUUCACACGAGCUUGUACAUCAGUAACCAGGAUUUUGACGAUUGUUUGUUUCUCCUCAGGAGUGUAAAGACACCUGCUGUGAGGCUGCAACAUGUAAACUCAAACCUGGGGCACAAUGCUCAUCCACUGAGCUAUGCUGUGAAGACUGUAAGUGCAUUUUUUCAAACUGUUAACUUUAAACAUACUUGGAGGAAAAUGGAGGAGGCAACUCCUGGAUCGGAGGUCAGUGCAGGGAGGCAAAUGCCAGACGUGAGUCUGUCGUGGGGAGGUGAGGCCCAGGCUGGAGACUGAUGUGGGGAGGUGAGGCCCAGACCGGAGGCUGUCACUGGGAGGUGAGGCCCAGACCGGAGGCUGUAACAGGGAGGUGAGGCCCAGACCGGAGAUUGUAACAGGGAAUUGAGGCCCAGACCGGAGGCUGUCGCGUGGAGGUGAGGCCCAGACCGGAGGCUGUCGCGUGGAGGUGAGGCCCAGAACGGAGGCUGUCACGGGGAGGUGAGGCCCAGACCGGAGGCUGUCGCAGGGAGGUGAGGCCCAGACCGGAGGCUGUCGCGGGGAGGUGAGGCCCAGACCGGAGGCUGUCGUGGGGAGGUGAGGCCCAGACUGGAGGCUGUCAUGGGCAGGCAAGGCCCUUGCAGACUGGAAACUGGAGCCGUGGGGAAGAGUGGCCUGAAGUUUUGAAGCCCAGUGUCAUCUGGAGACUUGGCCCAGUGCGGUCUGGAAGUGAGGUACUGGCAUGGACUGGGAUGAAAGGUGACCCUUCGCCAGAACAGAAACUAACUGGGAAAUGAUGGUAUUUACAGUGAUGAUGGGAGCUGGGGAAAGGACUGAGAUAAAUAGAUGGAGAUAGUGCCCAGACUUAGAGAGAGAAAGCAGAACUCAUACUGAAGAAUCUAUACCUAGAUACCUGGAACAUGUCCCUAGACCUGCACUCAUCCCUGGAACAUCUGGACAACAAGGACACCCACAUCUGGCUCCUGGUCAUUGAAGGCAGAGCUGUAGUCAACAUCACUUCCCCCUCCA
Molecule: long non-coding RNA, 1152 nt
Organism: Rhincodon typus (whale shark)
Lineage: Eukaryota; Metazoa; Chordata; Chondrichthyes; Orectolobiformes; Rhincodontidae
Exons: 4
Source: RefSeq, a predicted model, not a curated record